RNAcentral lists this ribosomal RNA (497 nucleotides) under uncultured bacterium. Its description in RNAcentral is "partial 16S ribosomal RNA". It matches the Rfam family "Bacterial small subunit ribosomal RNA", at positions 28 to 507 of the family's 1533-position model. The record is from RNAcentral.
GAUGAACGCUGGCGGCGUGCCUAAUACAUGCAAGUCGAGCGAACGGACGAGAAGCUUGCUUCUCUGAUGUUAGCGGCGGACGGGUGAGUAACACGUGGAUAACCUACCUAUAAGACUGGGAUAACUUCGGGAAACCGUAGCUAAUACCGGAUAAUAUUUUGAACCGCAUGGUUCAAAAGUGAAAGACGGUCUUGCUGUCACUUAUAGAUGGAUCCGCGCUGCAUUAGCUAGUUGGUAAGGUAACGGCUUACCAAGGCAACGAUGCAUAGCCGACCUGAGAGGGUGUUCGGCCACACUGGAACUGAGACACGGUCCAGACUCCUACGGGAGGCAGCAGUAGGGAAUCUUCCGCAAUGGGCGAAAGCCUGACGGAGCAACGCCGCGUGAGUGAUGAAGGUCUUCGGAUCGUAAAACUCUGUUAUUAGGGAAGAACAUAUGUGUAAGUAACUGUGCACAUCUUGACGGUACCUAAUCAGAGAGCCACGGCUAACUACGUG